RNAcentral lists this long non-coding RNA (549 nucleotides) under Vulpes vulpes (red fox). Its description in RNAcentral is "lncRNA (ENSVVUG00000017739.1)". The record is from RNAcentral. Lineage: Eukaryota; Metazoa; Chordata; Mammalia; Carnivora; Canidae.
CAUUUAAUAAAGUACUUCAAGAAAGGGUGACCUCACAAAAGGACUGGCUGGUAACAAGUGGGAGAGGGAGUAUGGAGAGCAUGCUACAUGCAGGGUUGGAAAAUAGAACUGGCCAUUAACAUAAUCUUGAAGGAAAAGAGAAAAUGAAGCUUGUAGCCAAUGCCAUUUUUCAAAAGGAUUGACUUGAUGAAGACAGCUUCUAGGAUAUCCUUUCAUUUGUAUAAAAUGGUGCCUGGAAAAGAUAAAGAAAUGAGAAGAAAUCAUGAGAUAAAAAUGUUUCCAACUGAAGAAAAAAACAGCAAUCUAAUAUCUAUAUAAUUCCCCUAGGAGUAAUACAGCAAAUACAUUAGUAUAUAGUGCCUGGCCUAUAACUCUGGGAACACCUGGAGCCCACAGAAUGAAGCAUCUGGGAGGUUGUGUAGGCCGCCAUGGGGAAGAAUCACCACCAAGCUCAGUCCUGACCCAGUACUGGUGGGACCCAGCCACACCAAGGCCAAGGACAGCCUCUCUCUGCAGACAGGCCAGCUGGCUGGGGACUGGGGGACUUCA